This is a long non-coding RNA of Physeter macrocephalus (sperm whale), 2048 nucleotides long. RefSeq lists it as uncharacterized. The record is from RefSeq and is a predicted model, not a curated record. The transcript is spliced from 3 exons. NCBI's taxonomy places the organism in Eukaryota, Metazoa, Chordata, Mammalia, Artiodactyla, Physeteridae.
CGAGCCUCACAAUCCAUCUGGUUGGGAACGUCGUGCAGUGCCCCGAGCCGCAGGAGCCAGAGCCAAUUACAAGUUUAUAUAAGAGACCAAGUCUCUCCCGCCUCCCCGGCUCCGCCCCGCCCUCCCCGCCCCAGCCGGCGUUGGGAUGGGGGAGGAAUCGCUCUCUCUGAAAUACAGGAUUGAUCUAGGAUGGAGGGUGUCUUUUCUGGGUUGACAACUCAGAACUAUUCCCUGCGUGAGAAACUUCUUGGGUCCAGCUUUUGUGCUCGGAAAACCUCAGAUGCCCUGCAGACCUUCCUGUGAAUCCGGGGAGGCCGGGGAGGCCGGGUCGGGGCCCGCCUCCACCUCGGGCCUGAGCUAAAAGAGGAGGUGUCUGGGUGGCAGGGUUCACGCGGCGUCCCCGCGGCGCGGUGCGAACUCGCUGGCGUUUAUGUAACUGCUGCCCUUCGCGGAGGACCGUGUGAUACACUGAGUCACGGAGGACGGGAGAGGGGGGCGGGCCGGCCUCUCCCGUCCACGUGACCCGUCAGAUGACUUGUUCUGAGUCGGCACGGGCUCAUUUACCGUAAUAAGGCUGAAGGCUUCUAAUCAGCAUCCAACGUUAGUCAUCCCCGAGUGACAUUUGAUAUGAGCAACAGCUCAAUACUAGGGCAUGACCGCGUGGAUGGCGAUGGACCUGGAGUAAAUGCUGCUCCGGCCGCCUCUGAUUUUUGUUGGAACCGGAGGAGUUUAUGCUGAGUCAAGGAAACCUACUGCGAAAAUGCCAGGGGAGACAAGUCACUCUUCCAGACAGAUUCUUAGAUUCUUCUGCACUAGGAGCAGAGAGUCCGGGAGAAACCGUUUAUAGGGUGGCUGGCAGGCAGCAGUCCACGCAAGCUCCGCUUCAGCUUCUGCAGUCUAGCGUGUGGCUCUGGGACCAGCCUCGCCCUCACCUAGGCCUCCAGAACCCGAAUCUGCAUUUGAAAGAAAACCCAGCGUAGGCGCCCGAGGAGCACGUGAAUACGGAGAACACAGGUGUCCUGUCUCUGAGUGAAGCGCAUGAACAAUUUCAUCAACCCUAAAAGAAACCCUGUGGCCAUAAGCAGUCACCCUCUGUCCCCCACUCCCCCAGCCCCUGGCAGCCACGGAUCUACUUUGUGUCAUCCGCUCUUGAGCUGAGACCUGAUGGAUGAAUAGAAGUCAACUUGUUGAGCAGUUAGGGGAAGAGGAUUUCUGGACGACAACAGUAUGGACAGCAUCCAGCAGAGGGACAAUGCACAGUCAAGGAAUUAAUGAGGGACCUGUGUUGUCAGAGUACAGAAUACAAGGGUGAGUGGCUGGAGCCAGAGUGUGCUAGGCUGGUCAUGCAGCCCACUCGAAGAUCUUGGCUUCUGCCCUAGUGCCGAGGGACCCGCAGGUCUGACACAGAACCUUCCAUCCAAUACAUGCCCCCAAAAUGUGGAGUGAGCAAACAAGUAAAUUUGGCUCUCAUACCCUUUUAAAACAUCAUAAAGGAUUGCUUUAUUUUAAAUAUUUAUAACAUAAAGCCAGACAUACAAGAGACAUAUAUAUGUGUAUUCCCACAGUCAUGGUAUAAUCUUACCGUUUGUAGAAAUCUGGUUUGGGCUUUUAUACUAAGUAAAGAGCUGAACUAAACUCGCAGAUCAGCUGUAACUUAUCUUCUCAGGAAACAGUAACUCCAGACUUGGUGGAAUUUCUUAUUGAGGUUUGACAGAAUGGAGGACGGAACUCAGACUAAAGAUUUGGGCUAGCUGGAGAUUCAGAGCAAGUUCUUUCUCAUUAGAAUUUCUUCCUAUUACCUAAAAAUAAAAUUGCUUUUAUUUGAAAUUUAAUACAUCUACUUGGUUUCCCUGGGAAGGUUUUGAACACACCUCAUUUGAGGGGCCACACCCAGACUAAAAGGCUCAGUCCUCCCACCUCUGACUACUCUGUUCUACUCCAUGUCCCCCAUUAGCACUUUUACAAGUUUCCCGGGUAAUCUUCCAAUGUUGUUUAUACAAAUACAUGUCAAUACGGAUAGGCAAUCUUAUUUACCACACCCCCGCCGC